AGAGAGUCAAAAUGUUACCUGUGAAGUUGAUCAUGUUGUAGAACAAUUUUUCAAUACAGAUAGGCCAUUCCUUUGCCUUGAUAUCCUCUGAACAUCAGAUUUGAAACAGAUGCAGUAAAUGUUAAUUUUACUGAGAGCAAAGUGGGGACAAUGUGUUGCUGUUUCACAGGACAGGGUGGUUGCAUGACCCACCUGUGCAGGAGCACUGGUUCUGUGGAGUGAAGGGAUACUGGAGCUGCAGAUACUGAAGUUGGGGAGGUGAUGAUGUGGUUACCUCAAGGGAAAAAAAGACAGUAGAAGGCAGGGGGGAGUUAGAAUUGAAAAAAAUUACCAGCUAAAUCCAUGAUUUGUAACAUCCUGAAGGGUUCUAACCAAUUUAAAAUUGUUUUUAGCUUUUUGUUGAGACCCAGGAUUGAAAGGCUACAACAGCUGCUGCCUAAGAAGAGCUUUGCUCCUGAGAAGGAUCAAUGCAUUGUCCAUGUGAGCUCCCCCCAGUGCAGGGUGGUUGUUCCUUUUCCCCUGUGUGGUUUCCACCAGGGGAAUGAAAUUCAAGACUCUUCAGACAGACUUUUCUAAUGCUGCAAAUGGAGGAGAGACUCUUGGCCCUGAUGGAAACCUGGGAAAAUGCUUUGGCUGGUGCCUCCUGGGAGGGUGUCAACAUCUGUCUGUGAAGCAUGGGCAGUGUGUGACCCCUCACAAGACAAUCAUCUAGUCAGGAGCCCUGUUUGUUGGCUGCUGGGAACAAUUCUCAGGUGUCUUACAUCAGAUACGGAUUUUUACUCACCGUGUCUUAGGGGCACAGUAGUAUGGGGUGACAGGAAAAGCAAGUAAGACAUCUGAGAAUGAGAAAUCCGGAGAUUUUGGCUUGGCUUUAUGGCUGUACCCCUGCAGUGGAGUUGCAUUUUUACAACCACUCAGAAGAGUCAGAAGCACUCAGGUGUGUUUCCAAGUACAUAGUAGCUGGAAACAAGGAGUAAAACCUUUCCAGAAGCCAGAAACUAUUGAUUUCAGUCAAAGGAUUUCUUCCUAAAAUGUACAGCCUGCUAGAGAAGAUUUCCAGUAGCCAUUUAAGGUGCCCUAGAGGUUACCUGAAGCGAAAUGUGAAAUAAAGACUGUGAUGGGGUGUUGCA
RNAcentral lists this long non-coding RNA (1130 nucleotides) under Cyanistes caeruleus (blue tit). Its description in RNAcentral is "lncRNA (ENSCCEG00000014214.1)". Lineage: Eukaryota; Metazoa; Chordata; Aves; Passeriformes; Paridae. The record is from RNAcentral.